AUUGAACGCUGGCGGCAUGCUUUACACAUGCAAGUCGAACGGCAGCGUGGGCUUCGGCCUGGCGGCGAGUGGCGAACGGGUGAGUAAUACAUCGGAACGUGCCCAGUAGUGGGGGAUAGCUCGGCGAAAGCCGGAUUAAUACCGCAUACGACCUGAGGGUGAAAGCGGGGGAUCUUCGGACCUCGCGCUAUUGGAGCGGCCGAUGGCAGAUUAGCUAGUUGGUGGGGUAAAGGCCUACCAAGGCGACGAUCUGUAGCUGGUCUGAGAGGACGACCAGCCACACUGGGACUGAGACACGGCCCAGACUCCUACGGGAGGCAGCAGUGGGGAAUUUUGGACAAUGGGCGAAAGCCUGAUCCAGCAAUGCCGCGUAUGUGAUGAAGGCCUUCGGGUUGUAAAGCACUUUUGGCGGGAACGAAAAGGACUGUGCCAAUACCACGGUUCGAUGACGGUACCCGCAGAAUAAGCACCGGCUAACUACGUG
This 484-nucleotide ribosomal RNA is filed under the name uncultured bacterium. RNAcentral describes it as "partial 16S ribosomal RNA". It matches the Rfam family "Bacterial small subunit ribosomal RNA", at positions 29 to 507 of the family's 1533-position model. The record is from RNAcentral.